CCCCAGACUCCUACGGGAGGCAGCAGUGGGGAAUAUUGCACAAUGGGGGGAACCCUGAUGCAGCGACGCCGCGUGGGUGAAGGAGCACCUCGGUGCGUAAAGCCCUAUCGGCAGGGAAGAAACAGACGGUACCUGACUAAGAAGCCCCGGCUAACUACGUGCCAGCAGCCGCGGUAAUACGUAGGGGGCAAGCGUUAUCCGGAUUUACUGGGUGUAAAGGGAGCGUAGACGGCAAUGCAAGCCAGAUGUGAAAGCCCGGGGCUCAACCCCGGGACUGCAUUUGGAACUGUGUAGCUGGAGUGUCGGAGAGGCAGGCGGAAUUCCUAGUGUAGCGGUGAAAUGCGUAGAUAUUAGGAGGAACACCAGUGGCGAAGGCGGCUUACUGGACAGUAACUGACGUUGAGGCUCGAAAGCGUGGGGAGCAAACAGGAUUAGAUACCCCGGUA
RNAcentral lists this ribosomal RNA (446 nucleotides) under uncultured bacterium. RNAcentral's name for it is "partial 16S ribosomal RNA". It matches the Rfam family "Bacterial small subunit ribosomal RNA", at positions 329 to 792 of the family's 1533-position model. The record is from RNAcentral.